UUUCCUAAAUGUCUGAUUAACCCAGGAAUCUGCCCUGGUCCAAAUCCUUUCUCUUUCUCCAGUCUCUUUAGGUGAGUUAUCUGCUCACGUGGUUAGGCGUUUCAGUGCCAGUACUCCUCUGAGUUUCAAAGCAAGGAAACCCCCUGCUUGCUAACACAUCCUCAGUGUAAGAUCUUCCAAAGUUAACCUGUUGUCUUCCUUUAUCUCCAGCCUUCCCUUCCCCAGACGGUCUCGGUAUCAGCAGCACCUGAACAUCCAAAGAAGAAAUACAAGAGCCGUUUUACAUUCCUCCCUCUUCAUUUUUCCUGUAGCUACUCAGCUACUACCUGGAGGAACUGGAAAAAUAUGCUGUGCAGAAAAGUCCUAGAGGUCUCACAAUAUAUCACAUCCCUCCCAAAUGGAAGGUUUGGAGCUAGAUGCAAAAGCAAAAGCAAGACAAAAAGCGACCAAAAUCCAAAGGAAUCUCUAGAGCAAUGAAAGCUGCAGUUUGCUGAAGUGCUGCCCCCGUUUCCCUGCUUUACAACUGCCUUAGCAAGAAAGAAAAAGAGAAGGAGGAAACAGAAGAAAGAAGAGGAAGAAGUCCCGAAUACCUCACAAGGCUCAG
Long non-coding RNA from Neofelis nebulosa (Clouded leopard), 604 nucleotides. RefSeq lists it as uncharacterized. The record is from RefSeq and is a predicted model, not a curated record. Lineage: Eukaryota; Metazoa; Chordata; Mammalia; Carnivora; Felidae. The transcript is spliced from 4 exons.